GGAAGAAUGGCCCAGUGGUUAGGGCACUAGCCUGGGAUUUGGGAGGCCUGGGUUCAAUUCCUUGCUCUGCCA
RNAcentral lists this transfer RNA (72 nucleotides) under Chelonia mydas (Green sea turtle). It matches the Rfam family "tRNA". Rfam says of the family: Transfer RNA (tRNA) molecules are approximately 80 nucleotides in length. Their secondary structure includes four short double-helical elements and three loops (D, anti-codon, and T loops). The record is from Rfam by way of RNAcentral. Lineage: Eukaryota; Metazoa; Chordata; Testudines; Cheloniidae.